Rosa rugosa (rugosa rose) is the source of this 732-nucleotide long non-coding RNA. RefSeq lists it as uncharacterized. The transcript is spliced from 4 exons. NCBI's taxonomy places the organism in Eukaryota, Viridiplantae, Streptophyta, Magnoliopsida, Rosales, Rosaceae. The record is from RefSeq and is a predicted model, not a curated record.
UCCAAAACUCAGCUUUUCAUAACAUGUUGCCCAAUUGGGCGUCUUAAUUAUCUAUCCAAUUGUGCAGCUGAAAUGUUAUUCGGCCAUGCCAUCUUUUGUGGCGAUAACAUGAGGGAAAACCAACUGUUUGUUAUCUCGAGGGUGCUAGCAUAUCUAGAGGAAGAGUCGACUAUAAGCUUUGGACGCCUGCCUGCUUAUGACCAGCCUGCUUAUCAUCCACCAUACGGGGAUACGUUGCCACCGGAAGUUUUGUCACUCCUCUUGAGGAUGCUCAGCUUUGAUCCAGCUAACAAGAGUUCGGCACAAGAGUGCCUAGAUGAUUCGUACUUUUUGCCACAAUGAAUAGGAACAUCAACCCUGAUAGGAGGAAGCUAUGAUCUCCGAGUUACACAGAGUUCAGUGUCUUUCAAAAGUUGCUUGUUGUCUCCCAGUAAAUUUAGUUCUCUGCUAUAAAAAUCUAAGACAUUUAAUUUGUCAUGUUAGACUAUUUUGUUGUGGUACUUAUCUGUGUAGUUCUGUUAGUUUUAGUCAUGGAUGAGAGUUCGAGUCAUGGAUGAUGCAUUUUUCUCACUGCUAUUCGUCCAGUUGAAGUUUUCUUAUAAACACCUCUGGAAUGAGAUUAGUUACUUAGUUUGUCCGUUUACUUUGAUGACAAUGCUAGCAACUUUGGUUUGCAAUGCAGACACAGUUUCGGGAUUUCUUUAAAUAUAUAUUUCCAUUUAUGGUUUUGUC